CCUACUUCCAAACAAGUUCACGUUCUGAGUUGCUGAGGCUCAAGAUUCCAACAUAUGAAUUUGGGGGAGGACACCGUCCAGCCCAUCAGCCAAAUGCUACUGGAUUCACUGUUAAGAAUUUGAAAUUGUCCUAUUUAAUCUGCUAAAUCUGCUGUUGAAGACCAGAGUCUUCAGAUCCCAAGGAGCUGGUGUCCUGCAGCUUUACCUGGUCUACACUAGGUGUCAUUGUGAACAAUGUCUACGCCUAAAGAUUGAAGAGGAUUCCAGAGACUGCCAUUCCUUAUAGUAUUUCUUUUCCCUGAACAAACUGAGCAGUUAAUCACAAGAUCGACAUAAUAUCAACAAAUUUGUGCUCGUGGAUGGAUCACACCAAAAGUUAUAAAGCCUUAAAAGCAGUAUUUAAAUGCCUGCAUCUAAAACCAAUAUUUAAAAUCAGUAUUUAAGGACAAAAAAGACUGAGCUACUUGAGACGCCUCACAUUUGCUAUGAUUUCUUGCAUUUCGGUUGCCCUUUACCUUAUCUAGGGUUGCCAGCCUGUUCUAUUCUUUCGUCUCUAUCCAUCCCUCUCAAAGAUUUCCAAGAGCCAGCACAGAGAGGUUGGCAUAUCUUUCUGCCACCCGGCCCUCCCUGGCUUUCCUGUUUGUGCAAGAAGCUUGUUCGGUAGAAUCUUGAAGUCGGCGAUGCUCAUCCCUGACUGCGUAUUAGAUUCACCCUGCGAGGUUUCGGAUGAUGCUAAUUUCUCAACCUCAGAUUUUCUGAUUGAAAUAGUUGGGGGAAGGGCCCAUGCACAAGCAUUGCUUUGAUCUUUUUAAAACGCUUCUGAUGAUUCUAACAUUCAGCCAGUUUUACAACCGCUGAAACAACUUUAGCCUAAGUCUCAAAACCACUGUUUCUGAAUGUGUGAUCCACAGACUUCCUACAUCAUCCAAAAAGACCAAUAAAAAAAAGGUAAAUAUCCAGGUUUUAUCCCAAACCUACCGAAUCAGAACAUGGGGACGAUGGAGGUCCAGACAUCUGCUUUCAACAAGUCUUACGUGAUUCUCACGACUUGGGAACUACUGCUCUAAGGCAGUGGUUCCCCAAUUUCUUUUGCAAGGACUCAUUUUUUGGUUACUUUUCGUCACCAAGGACAAACCCUGUGAAGCUGUGACACGCCAUGACACACUCUGUUGGUUGGCUUACUCAGAAGCGAAUUCUAGCCUUUUUCUCCCUCCUUAUGUUUCACAGUAGAUGCCAGAAAAGCUAAAUACCCGCUUCUGUGAACUCCCACACAGCUACUAGCAACAAGGCACCAUGACCCAGUUCGGUGAACAAGUCCAGGGCAUGUGCGCUAAGUGGGACUGGCAAACUCUGGCUUCUUUAUAAAAGGGACUGUAUAAGCUGCAUGCUCCUGGCUUCAGCCCUUCCCUACUCUUAACGCUUUGAAGCUGGAUGUGAUGCCAUCAGGUGACCAUAGAGGGACGGCAAGGGCAAAGACAAAGGACCAACACGCUAUGGCUGACAAAGUAGAACCCAACAACCUGGAUCAUUGCCUUUGUCAAGAAGCCCACCAUUGCUAUUGCCAUCAGCAUUCCUAACUGAUGAGUCCCCCACUGCCCUAAUUCAUUCCAGAGAAAAACAGGACCUAGUUGGAAGUCUCCAUUUGUCUUCCUUCCCAAACCUUUAAUAUCACCCAAGAAUUUGUCUGCAAAACUUAAUAUAUAAAGUCUUGAACCCCAGGCUCCAACUCCACUUCCACCGUUUAGCCCUGGAAGUCUUUCAUUCUACUGCCCUCCACCCAAAAGAAGAACCCUGUCACCAGCUCAUCCUGCCCACCACCGAGUUUUUUGGAAGACUAAUUAAUGUACAAGAAACUUGCAUGCGUUUAAUGUAUACAAUUUGAUGAGUUUGGACAUAUGCAUACACCUGUGACACCAUCACUGCCAUCAAGGCAGUGCCCUGAAGGAAGGUGCUGGUCACAAGUGAGGAAAGACACUAAUUGCUGAAGCUAUAUGGAAAUUGAGAGUUUCUGCUAGGAACUAAAGGGACAAUAUUGUAAAGUGACAUUAGCAAGAUGGCAAAAUAGGAGUUUAUUACCAUCGUCUUUCCACAGGACAUUACAUUCAACAUUCACUCACAGAUAAGAAUAACUUUGUGGGAGUUUGGGAAUCCAGCAGAGAAUAUUCAGCGCACCACUGAAGCGAAAAAUCUGAGAAUAUAUCCAUUGAAGAGGAAUAUUGAGGUGAUCUUCAUGACUGAGGAAUUGCGAGUGUCUAGAAAAAAUAAUAUUUAUUACCCAGAACUUCUUCAUAUAACCUAUGAUUGGGUCCUUUUAUUCUAAAUCUAACUGAUGAAGAAGUUAAGUAUCAGAGAGUUAGAUGUGAUCAUGGUUAUUAGCUAAUAAAGGAUAUAUUGAACUUG
Molecule: long non-coding RNA, 2400 nt
Organism: Canis lupus familiaris (dog)
Lineage: Eukaryota; Metazoa; Chordata; Mammalia; Carnivora; Canidae
Exons: 4
Source: RefSeq, a predicted model, not a curated record